RNAcentral lists this ribosomal RNA (272 nucleotides) under uncultured bacterium. Its description in RNAcentral is "partial 16S ribosomal RNA". It matches the Rfam family "Bacterial small subunit ribosomal RNA", at positions 333 to 597 of the family's 1533-position model. The record is from RNAcentral.
UUCGUCCUACGGGAGGCAGCAGUAGGGAAUUUUCGUCAAUGGGCGCAAGCCUGAACGAGCAAUGCCGCGUGAACGAGGAAGGUCUUCGGAUCGUAAAGUUCUGUUGAAGGGGAAAAAGAGCGGAGAGAGGAAAUGAACUCCGAUUGAUAUUACCUUUCGAGGAAGUCACGGCUAACUACGUGCCAGCAGCCGCGGUAAUACGUAGGUGGCGGGCGUUAUCCGGAAUGAUUGGGCGUAAAGGGUGCGUAGGCGGCCUGCUAAGUCUGGAGUGA